This 237-nucleotide long non-coding RNA is filed under the name Manihot esculenta (cassava). RNAcentral describes it as "long non-coding RNA (MESC_LNC001954)". The record is from RNAcentral. Lineage: Eukaryota; Viridiplantae; Streptophyta; Magnoliopsida; Malpighiales; Euphorbiaceae.
CUAAGACCAUUCGUCCUCGAAUGUUCCUAAACAAAUAAUCACAUAAAAAGGAGGAAACUCACCUCAAAACAGAUAUGGAUACUGCUGGAGCAUCGACUCCCGCGUCUCCCAGGUGCACUCUUCUAAAUUGUGGUGGUUCCACAGAACUUUCACCAUCGGAAUUUCCUUGUUCCUUAGCUGCCUGAUCUGCGUGUCUAGAAUCCGUACUGGCUGCUCUACAUAGGUGAGAUCUCUAAG